RNAcentral lists this unclassified non-coding RNA (355 nucleotides) under uncultured Chytridiales. RNAcentral's name for it is "sequence contains ITS2". The stretch from base 1 to 146 matches the Rfam family "5.8S ribosomal RNA". Lineage: Eukaryota; Fungi; Chytridiomycota; Chytridiomycetes; Chytridiales. The record is from RNAcentral.
AACUUUUAACAACGGAUCACUUGGCUCUCGCAACGAUGAAGAACGCAGCGAAAUGCGAUACGUGUCAUGAAUUGCAGAACUACGAAUGAUGAAUGUUUGAACGCACAUUGCGCCACCGUUUCGGUGGCAUGUCUGUCUGAGAAUCUUAAAGGUUCUUUCAAACACUGUUGUGUUUGGCUCCUGGCAGGUUACUAGACGUAUGUGCUAGCCUGCUGAAAGACAAUGCAUCAAGCGUGUCCAGUACUCGACUUGGGUUUGACAAACUCAGACUCAAUUGAGUAGGGACAAUCAAUGACUUGGUCUCAGAUCAGACAGGAGGACCCGCUGAACUUAAGCAUAUCAAUAAGCGGAGGCU